Papaver somniferum (opium poppy) is the source of this 729-nucleotide long non-coding RNA. RefSeq lists it as uncharacterized. Lineage: Eukaryota; Viridiplantae; Streptophyta; Magnoliopsida; Ranunculales; Papaveraceae. The record is from RefSeq and is a predicted model, not a curated record. The transcript is spliced from 4 exons.
GUGUUUCCUUUCAGAAGUGAAAUUCCAAACCCUAGUCUGAAGAAUGGAUUUACAGGAAAAAAACAACGGGAGCGCGAACUAAAUCGAUAGCAAGGUCUUGAAGCAUUCAAACAGUUUUUUGGAGCUCUUGCACAUGUAAAAUGUCUAACCGUCAAGAAUCCACCCUUGCAGGUUAACAAUCUGUUGAUGAAUUCGCCAGUAUAUCACAAUAUUGAACGGUUGAGAAUAACUCGAGGUGUGAACUCUGAUGUAGCAGUAAUUGCGUUUCUCAAAGUAACUCCUAAUCUGGAGUCGCUCAUAUUUCAAAAAGGCUUAUAUUGAUAUAGUUGAUCAUGGUAGUGAAGACAAUGGUUGGACAUCACUUGAUCUGGUGGAUACUGGAUGCUUGUUUCGACGCCUUAAAUCAGUUUGCUUAAGCCAUGUUUUGGGGGCGCAAGGGAGAUUAGCUGUGUGAAAGUAAUUUUGAAGAAUGCAAAAGUUUUGGAAUCGUUGACUAUCUAUCAUUAUAAUUUAAGACGCAUUUCAAAUUUGACAGAACAAGAACUUAUGCUGCAGAUAAAUAGUUUUCCAAGAGCCUCGCCAAGUUGCACAUUUAAAUUAUUCCCUUUUGGAAAUCAAGUUUAAGACUUCACAAACGCAGCAGGGAAGGAAUUCUGAAAUUCCAGAAUCAGUAAGGUAAUUACAUCCCUUGUUAUGCUGCUACAGAAACUUUAGGAAUGUGAAGGCAUU